Molecule: ribosomal RNA, 525 nt
Filed under: uncultured bacterium
Lineage: Bacteria
Description: partial 16S ribosomal RNA
Rfam family: Bacterial small subunit ribosomal RNA
Source: RNAcentral
UGGGGAAUAUUGGACAAUGGGGGCAACCCUGAUCCAGCCAUGCCGCGUGAGUGAUGAAGGCCCUAGGGUUGUAAAGCUCUUUUGUGCGGGAAGAUAAUGACGGUACCGCAAGAAUAAGCCCCCGGCUAACUUCGUGCCAGCAGCCGCGGUAAUACGAAGGGGGCUAGCGUUGCUCGGAAUCACUGGGCGUAAAGGGUGCGUAGGCGGGUUUCUAAGUCAGAGGUGAAAGCCUGGAGCUCAACUCCAGAACUGCCUUUGAUACUGGAAGUCUUGAGUAUGGCAGAGGUGAGUGGAACUGCGAGUGUAGAGGUGAAAUUCGUAGAUAUUCGCAAGAACACCAGUGGCGAAGGCGGCUCACUGGGCCAUUACUGACGCUGAGGCACGAAAGCGUGGGGGAGCAAACAGGAUUAGAUACCCUGGUAGUCCACGCCGUAAACGAUGAAUGCCAGCCGUUAGUGGGUUUUACUCACUAGUGGCGCAGCUAACGCUUUAAGCAUUCCGCCUGGGGAGUACGGUCGCAAGAUU